GUGGGGAAUCUUCCGCAAUGGACGAAAGUCUGACGGAGCAACGCCGCGUGAGUGAAGAAGGUUUUCGGAUCGUAAAGCUCUUUCGUUAGGGACGAACGUGCUCUUUGUGAAUAAUGAGGAGUAAUGACGGUACCUAAAUAAGAAGCCACGGCUAACUACGUGCCAGCAGCCGCGGUAAUACGUAGGUGGCAAGCGUUGUCCGGAAUUAUUGGGCGUAAAGCGCGCGCAGGCGGGAUAUCAAGUCUGUCUUAAAAGUGCGAGGCUCAACCUCGUGAGGGGACAGAAACUGGUAUUCUUGAGUGUCGGAGAGGAAAGUGGAAUUCCAAGUGUAGCGGUGAAAUGCGUAGAUAUUAGGAAGAACACCAGUGGCGAAGGCGACUUUCUGGACGAAAACUGACGCUGAGGCGCGAAAGCCAGGGGAGCGAACGGGAUUAGAUACCCCGGUAGUCC
RNAcentral lists this ribosomal RNA (450 nucleotides) under uncultured bacterium. RNAcentral describes it as "partial 16S ribosomal RNA". It matches the Rfam family "Bacterial small subunit ribosomal RNA", at positions 354 to 796 of the family's 1533-position model. The record is from RNAcentral.